This 636-nucleotide ribosomal RNA is filed under the name Bradyrhizobium sp. UFLA03-182. Its description in RNAcentral is "bacterial SSU rRNA". It matches the Rfam family "Bacterial small subunit ribosomal RNA", at positions 132 to 802 of the family's 1533-position model. Lineage: Bacteria; Pseudomonadati; Pseudomonadota; Alphaproteobacteria; Hyphomicrobiales; Nitrobacteraceae. The record is from RNAcentral.
UUUGGUUCGGAACAACUGAGGGAAACUUCAGCUAAUACCGGAUAAGCCCUUACGGGGAAAGAUUUAUCGCCGAAAGAUCGGCCCGCGUCUGAUUAGCUAGUUGGUGAGGUAAUGGCUCACCAAGGCGACGAUCAGUAGCUGGUCUGAGAGGAUGAUCAGCCACAUUGGGACUGAGACACGGCCCAAACUCCUACGGGAGGCAGCAGUGGGGAAUAUUGGACAAUGGGCGCAAGCCUGAUCCAGCCAUGCCGCGUGAGUGAUGAAGGCCCUAGGGUUGUAAAGCUCUUUUGUGCGGGAAGAUAAUGACGGUACCGCAAGAAUAAGCCCCGGCUAACUUCGUGCCAGCAGCCGCGGUAAUACGAAGGGGGCUAGCGUUGCUCGGAAUCACUGGGCGUAAAGGGUGCGUAGGCGGGUCUUUAAGUCAGGGGUGAAAUCCUGGAGCUCAACUCCAGAACUGCCUUUGAUACUGAAGAUCUUGAGUUCGGGAGAGGUGAGUGGAACUGCGAGUGUAGAGGUGAAAUUCGUAGAUAUUCGCAAGAACACCAGUGGCGAAGGCGGCUCACUGGCCCGAUACUGACGCUGAGGCACGAAAGCGUGGGGAGCAAACAGGAUUAGAUACCCUGGUAGUCCACGCCG